GUAGUCUCAAAUGAAUGUAUUUUUGCAGAAACAAUAUUGUAGUCUAGAGUUCUGUUGUGUGGCAGGUUUGGGAGUAAAUAGUAACAAUUUAGGGUUGAGCAGUCUCCCUAUAGCCUUGUCUUUCAGCUAUUCUGCAACCGUUGAUUGACAUCAAACUAUCAAUUCCAGUUUGUUCGCAAGGGAAACAGAGAGCCUUCAUUGACAUCAAACUGCAACCGUUGAUUGGGUUUUUACCUUUGACUAGUCGAUGGCUCACCUAAAGCACUUUCGGAAGGAUCAUCUAACACUGUAGAAAUAGUAGGACUCUCACCAUCACAGAAAUUGCAAGCUUUGGGCUGAAUGUUCUGCCACUUGUAGAUUUUGUCAUGACAAUGUCAGUGAUCACUCGAUGGAUAGGACUUUCGGAGUAUCCUACGUGUUGUGCGUUGUCGCUUUUGGUGUAUGGAUUGUGGUCCAGUAUCUCCCUGUCCAAUGAACAUCCAUUACUAGUUGAGUACGACAAUCACGCUGCUUUUAUAACAGUCAAACUAUGCUGAUUACAUGAACCAUGUCAUUGAUUGAUCCGAUAGCAAUAUCUCUUUUAUAAGGAUUUUACAUGUACGGAGGGACUGCGACUUGUUCUUCAAUUCAAAUACCUAGUUAGCUACUCAACAUCACUUUUUUCCUUCUAGAAAAUGACAACAAUACAUUCAGAAUAUUCUUAUUACAUUGUCUCAUUACACAUACAAUCCUAUAAUCAAUUAACCAACUUUACAUUUGGGUCCUUUCUCGUCUUUAUUAUCAUAUGAUAUUGAUCAAAUUCUCCAAUCAAUCUGCACUGAUUGAUACUCUACACAACCCAAAGACUUAAAUAUUUCUUUUUCAAACUGUUCUUCUUGUUUACAAUAUCUGCACUUGGGAGAACUUAGUGGUGAUGAAGACGGAUAGAUACUCCCUCUGCUAGGGUAGGUAUGAGAACCCCUGAAACUUUCUCAUCAGGAUCUGUAACUUCCCAUUUGAACUUGUUUAUUAGAAUGUGAAUGAAAUUGAGGACCACAAACCGCGUGUAGUCUUGUCCAGGGCAAGAUCUUGGUCCAGCUCCAAAGGGUAUCCAAGUGUAUGGAGCAGGAAGAAUAGUUCCUUCAAACCUUGAGGGGUCAAAACUUUCAGGUUCAGGAAAGUAGUUGGGAUCCCUAUUUGUCCCAACCAGUGACCAAAAAAUCUGUACAAAUGUAAACAAGUUAGAGAAAAAUUUAAUUUACAAGCUAACCUACAUUAAUCAAUUGGUAUCUCACAAUCUUUAAACCAAGGUACCUUCCACCCUUUUGGAAUAGAAAAACCUUCAUAUGUGAUAUCUGUUAUGACCUCUCUGAACACACCUGGUGCAGUUGGAUAGAGUCUCAUAGUCUCCUGUGCAACAGCCCAUGUGUAUUUCAGUUUCUGUAGGCUGUCCCAGUCUAGUGCUGCACCAGAUCUUUUGAAUUUUGUAAUACCAGCAUGCUC
This 1482-nucleotide small RNA is filed under the name Vigna angularis var. angularis. Its description in RNAcentral is "Non-protein coding transcript". Lineage: Eukaryota; Viridiplantae; Streptophyta; Magnoliopsida; Fabales; Fabaceae. The record is from RNAcentral.